RNAcentral lists this long non-coding RNA (217 nucleotides) under Capsella rubella. RNAcentral describes it as "long non-coding RNA (CRUB_LNC001574)". Lineage: Eukaryota; Viridiplantae; Streptophyta; Magnoliopsida; Brassicales; Brassicaceae. The record is from RNAcentral.
CCAGGUUUUAGUCUGUAGGUGACUUUGGCUGGGUCUACGAAUGUCCGUGUGCAAGUAAUGGUGGUUCUCUUUGAAAUAUUCCCCUCCGAAUCUCAAGGUCUCUCCUUGUCCCGUCGCCUUCUCGUAUCCCUUGGUUUUGGAUUGGUAGUGAUGGUAAGGAUAUGUGCUUUGAUCCUCUUGUUUAUUUGAGUUCGAUUCUGCUGGGGUCGUGGUUUUG